AGAAAAUAUCUAUGCAUGUAUAUAUAUAUAUAUAUAUGUGUGUGUGUGUGUGUGUGUGUGUGUGUGUAUACAUAGAUGCACACACAUACACAUUCACAUAUAUGUA
RNAcentral lists this microRNA precursor (106 nucleotides) under Mustela putorius furo (domestic ferret). RNAcentral describes it as "miRNA (ENSMPUG00000021984.1)". The record is from RNAcentral. Lineage: Eukaryota; Metazoa; Chordata; Mammalia; Carnivora; Mustelidae.